This 1683-nucleotide ribosomal RNA is filed under the name Betta coccina. RNAcentral describes it as "16S ribosomal RNA". It matches the Rfam family "Bacterial large subunit ribosomal RNA". The record is from RNAcentral. Lineage: Eukaryota; Metazoa; Chordata; Actinopteri; Anabantiformes; Osphronemidae.
ACCCAACAGCUAGCCUUACACCAUGAAUAAAACAAACCCUGUUAAUAACCCCAAAAACACCGACUAUUAAACAACAAACCAUUUUUCCCCCCAAGUAUGGGCGACAGAAAAGGAUACCACAUGCGCCAUAAAAAAGUACCGCAAGGGAACGCUGAAAAAGAAAUGAAAUAAACCAGUAAAGUUAAAAAAAGCAGAGACUUACACUCGUACCUUUUGCAUCAUGACUUAGCUAGUAAAGACCAAGCAAAAGGCACUUUAGUUUGACUUCCCGAAACUAAGUGAGCUACUCCAAGACAGCCUAAAAGCAGGGCUAACCCGUCUCUGUGGCAAAAGAGUGGGGCGAUCUUAGAGUAGAGGUGACAAACCUAUCGAACUUAGUCAUAGCUGGUUGCCUAAGAAAUGAAUAGGAGUUCAGCUUUUUGAUUUCUCACCUCAAAUUUAUUUUAUAUUUGUUUGACGCAGAUAAGUACCAAAAAAGUUAAUUAAAGGGGGUACAGCUCCUUUAAAACAAGACACAACUUCCUCAGCCGGGUAAGGAUCAUAAUUAUUAAGGUAGAAAUGCUUUAGUGGGCCUGAAAGCAGCCACCUAUAAGAAAGCGUUAAAGCUCAUUCAUAGCCCCUCCCCCCGUCAAUUUAGAUAACAAAUCCUAGCCCGCUAAUUUUAUUAGGCCGCCCCAUGCCUACAUGGGGGCGAUCCUGCUAAUAUGAGUAAUAAGAAAAAUUCAAAAUUUUCUCCUUGCACGCGUGUAAAUCGAAACGGACCCCCCACCGAAACUUAAUCGGCCCCAAAAAGAGGGUAAUGAACUACCAACCCUAAUAACAAGAAAAACACCCAAAAAUUAACCGUUAACCCCACACUGGUGUGCCUACAAGGAAAGACUAAAAGAAAAAGAAGGAACUCGGCAAAUAAAAGCCUCGCCUGUUUACCAAAAACACCGCCUCUUGUAUACAAAAAAUAAGAGGUCACGCCUGCCCUGUGACAAAAGUUUAACGGCCGCGGUAUUUUGACCGUGCAAAGGUAGCGCAAUCACUUGUCCUUUAAAUGAAGACCUGUAUGAAUGGCAUCACGAGGGCUUAACUGUCUCCUUUUUCCAGUCAAUGAAAUUGAUCUCCCCGUGCAGAAGCGGGGAUAAAACCAUAAGACGAGAAGACCCUAUGAAGCUUUAGACGCAAGACAGAUCUUGUUAAACACUUCAAAAUAAAGAAAUAAACUUAAAGAACCCUGCUCCGAUGUCUUUGGUUGGGGCGACCACGGGGAAACAAAAAACCCCCAUGCGGACUGAGAAAACAAUUCUCACAACCAAGAGCCACAGCUCUAGUUAACAGAAUUUCUGACCUUUAGAUCCGGCAAUGCCGAUCAACGGACCGAGUUACUCUAGGGAUAACAGCGCAAUCCCCUCUUAGAGCUCCUAUCGACGAGGGGGUUUACGACCUCGAUGUUGGAUCAGGACAUCCUAAUGGUGCAGCAGCUAUUAAAGGUUCGUUUGUUCAACGAUUAAAGUCCUACGUGAUCUGAGUUCAGACCGGAGUAAUCCAGGUCAGUUUCUAUCUAUGCUAUGAUCUUUUCCAGUACGAAAGGACCGAAAAGAAGAGGCCAAUGCUUAAAGCACGCCUCACCCCCACCUAAUGAGGCCAACUAAAUUAGGCAAAAGGGCAUAUCCCUUUUGCCUAAUAUAACGGCAU